GACUUUGUAGGAGUGGUGUGACCGUCACAUCCCGGACGAGCCCCCAGAUGAAAGAUUCCUGCCGAUAACCGGCCAAUCCUCCUUGUCCAGGGAGUGCUACGGCGACCCCAAUCAAC
This 116-nucleotide microRNA precursor is filed under the name Tupaia belangeri (northern tree shrew). Its description in RNAcentral is "miRNA (ENSTBEG00000021269.1)". The record is from RNAcentral. Lineage: Eukaryota; Metazoa; Chordata; Mammalia; Scandentia; Tupaiidae.